This 245-nucleotide ribosomal RNA is filed under the name uncultured bacterium. RNAcentral's name for it is "partial 16S ribosomal RNA". It matches the Rfam family "Bacterial small subunit ribosomal RNA", at positions 524 to 768 of the family's 1533-position model. The record is from RNAcentral.
AACGUAGGGGGCGAGCGUUGUUCGGAAUCAUUGGGCGUAAAGCGCGUGUAGGCGGUCUGCUAAGUCGGACGUGAAAGCCCCAGGCUUAACCUGGGAAGUGCAUCCGAAACUGGCGGACUUGAGUCUGGAAGAGGGAAAUGGAAUUCCUGGUGUAGCGGUGAAAUGCGCAGAUAUCAGGAAGAACACCAGUGGCGAAGGCGGUUUCCUGGGCCACGACUGACGCUGAGACGCGAAAGCUAGGGGAG